AAAAUGCAUAGAAUCAUUGCUGCGGUUAAAAAGCUCGUCGUUGGAUCUGUGCUGGCGACGUGGUCUGCCCUCGCGGGUGGUACUGCGCUCGUCGGCUUUGGGCCGGUCUCCGGGCGGUGGCCUUCACUGGUCGUCGUUCGUGGCUGGCUGGUUUACUUUGAGCAAAUCAGAGUGCUCAGCACAGGCGUCUCGCCGGAAUGUUCGUGCAUGGAAUAAUGGAAAAGGAUUUCGGUCCUCUUUUAUUGGUUUUGUGGACUGAGAUAAUGGUUAACAGAGACGGACGGGGGCAUUCGUAUUGCUGCGUGAGAGGUGAAAUUCUUGGACCGCAGCAGGACGGACUACAG
This is a ribosomal RNA of 344 nucleotides. It matches the Rfam family "Eukaryotic small subunit ribosomal RNA", at positions 594 to 945 of the family's 1831-position model.